Molecule: ribosomal RNA, 495 nt
Filed under: uncultured bacterium
Lineage: Bacteria
Description: partial 16S ribosomal RNA
Rfam family: Bacterial small subunit ribosomal RNA
Source: RNAcentral
GACGAACGCUGGCGGCGUGCCUAAUACAUGCAAGUAGAACGCUGAAGGAGGAGCUUGCUUCUCUGGAUGAGUUGCGAACGGGUGAGCAACGCGUAGGUAACCUGCCUGGUAGCGGGGGAUAACUAUUGGAAACGAUAGCUAAUACCGCAUAAUAGUAGAUGUUGCAUGACAUUUGCUUAAAAGGUGCAAUUGCAUCACUACCAGAUGGACCUGCGUUGUAUUAGCUAGUUGGUGAGGUAACGGCUCACCAAGGCGACGAUACAUAGCCGACCUGAGAGGGUGAUCGGCCACACUGGGACUGAGACACGGCCCAGACUCCUACGGGAGGCAGCAGUAGGGAAUCUUCGGCAAUGGACGGAAGUCUGACCGAGCAACGCCGCGUGAGUGAAGAAGGUUUUCGGAUCGUAAAGCUCUAUUGUAAGAGAAGAACGAGUGUGAGAGUGGAAAGUUCACACUGUGACGGUAUCUUACCAGAAAGGGACGGCUAACUACGUG